This 464-nucleotide ribosomal RNA is filed under the name uncultured bacterium. RNAcentral's name for it is "partial 16S ribosomal RNA". It matches the Rfam family "Bacterial small subunit ribosomal RNA", at positions 339 to 795 of the family's 1533-position model. The record is from RNAcentral.
CUACGGGAGGCUGCAGUGAGGAGUUUUGCGCAAUGGGGGAAACCCUGACGCAGCAACGCCGCGUGAGCGAAGAAGGCCUUCGGGUCGUAAAGCUCUGUCAAGUGGGAAAAACGUUUUCCGGUAAAUAGCCGGGAGAUCUGAUGGUACCGCUGAAGGAAGCACCGGCUAACUCCGUGCCAGCAGCCGCGGUAAUACGGAGGGUGCAAGCGUUGUUCGGAAUUAUUGGGCGUAAAGAGCGUGUAGGCGGUUUGGUAAGUCAGAUGUGAAAGCCCUGGGCUUAACCCAGGAAGUGCAUUUGAAACUGCUUUACUUGAGUAUGGGAGAGGAGAGUGGAAUUCCUGGUGUAGAGGUGAGAUUCGUAGAUAUCAGGAGGAACAUCUGUGGCGAAGGCGACUCUCUGGACCAAUACUGACGCUGAGACGCGAAAGCGUGGGUAGCAAACAGGAUUAGAUACCCGCGUAGUC